Molecule: ribosomal RNA, 496 nt
Filed under: uncultured bacterium
Lineage: Bacteria
Description: partial 16S ribosomal RNA
Rfam family: Bacterial small subunit ribosomal RNA
Source: RNAcentral
GAUGAACGCUGGCGGCGUGCCUAAUACAUGCAAGUCGAGCGAACAGACGAGGAGCUUGCUCCUCUGACGUUAGCGGCGGACGGGUGAGUAACACGUGGAUAACCUACCUAUAAGACUGGGAUAACUUCGGGAAACCGGAGCUAAUACCGGAUAAUAUAUUGAACCGCAUGGUUCAAUAGUGAAAGACGGUUUUGCUGUCACUUAUAGAUGGAUCCGCGCCGCAUUAGCUAGUUGGUAAGGUAACGGCUUACCAAAGCAACGAUGCGUAGCCGACCUGAGAGGGUAAUCGGCACACUGGGAAUUAGACACGGUGCCAACCCCCUAGGGGAGGAGGAGGUGGGGAAUUUUCAGAAAGGGGCGAAACCCGAACGGGCCAAAGCGGCGGGGGUAAGAAAGGUUUUCGGAUCGAAAACCUUUUUUUUUGGGGAAAAAAAAAUGUGUAAAAAACCUUGCUGUUCUGGCCGGACCCAAAUAAGAAACCCCGGGCUAACUACUU